CGUGCGUGGAGGAAGAAGGCCUUCGGGUUGUAAACUUCUGUCGUGUGGGAAGAACUUUGACGGUACCACACAAGAAAGGGGCGCCUAACUCUGUGCCAGCAGGCGCGGUAAUACAGAGGCCCCGAGCGUUAUCCGGAAUCAUUGGGCGUAAAGCGUCCGCAGGCGGCUAUGUGCGUCUGCUGUUAAAUGGCAGGGCUCAACCCUGAUCACGUUGCAGUGGAUACGACAUAGCUAGAGGCAGGAAGAGAUGAACGGAACUCAUAGUGGAGCAGUGAAAUGCGUUGAUAUUAUGGGGAACACCAAUUGCGAAGGCAGUUCAUUGGUCCUGUCCUGACGCUCAUGGACGACAGCGUGGGGAGCGAAGCGGAUUAGAUACCCGCGUAGUCCACGCCGUAAACGAUGUCAACUAGGCAUUGGGAGUAUCGACCCUCUCAGUGUCGUAGCUAACGCGUUAAGAUGACCGCCUGGGUAGUACGGCCGCAAGGCUA
RNAcentral lists this ribosomal RNA (488 nucleotides) under uncultured bacterium. RNAcentral describes it as "bacterial SSU rRNA". It matches the Rfam family "Bacterial small subunit ribosomal RNA", at positions 396 to 896 of the family's 1533-position model. The record is from RNAcentral.